GUUUCUUCGGAAACGAGUAAAGCGGCGGACGGGUGAGUAACGCGUAGGAAUCUACCAUUCAGUGGGGGAUAGCUCGGGGAAACUCGAAUUAAUACCGCAUAUACCCUAAGGGGGAAAGAGGGCCUAUCCUUGGAAGCUCUUGCUGUUUGAUGAGCCUGCGUGAGAUUAGUUUGUUGGUGAGGUAAUGGCUCACCAAGGCUACGAUCUCUAGCUGGUCUGAGAGGACGAUCAGCCACACUGGGACUGAGACACGGCCCAGACUCCUACGGGAGGCAGCAGUGGGGAAUAUUGGACAAUGGGGGCAACCCUGAUCCAGGCAUGCCGCGUGUGUGAAGAAGGCCUUCGGGUUGUAAAGCACUUUAGGUAAGGAAGAAAAGUCAUUGGUUAAUACCCAAUGACCAUGACAUUACUUACAGAAUAAGGACCGGCUAACUCCGUGCCAGCAGCCGCGGUAAUACGGAGGGUCCAAGCGUUAAUCGGAAUUACUGGGCGUAAAGCGCGCGUAGGCGGUUUGACAAGUUGGGUGUGAAAUCCCCGGGCUUAACCUGGGAACUGCAUUCAAAACUUUUAAACUGGAGUACGGGAGAGGAGAGUAGAAUUCAUGGUGUAGCGGUGAAAUGCGUAGAUAUCAUGAGGAAUACCAAUGGCGAAGGCAACUCUCUGGACCGUAACUGACGCUGAGGUGCGAAAGCGUGGGUAGCAAACAGGAUUAGAUACCCUGGUAGUCCACGCCGUAAACGAUGACAACUAGCCGUUGGACUUUCGGGUUCAGUGGCACAGCUAACGCAUUAAGUUGUCCGCC
This 802-nucleotide ribosomal RNA is filed under the name uncultured Gammaproteobacteria bacterium. Its description in RNAcentral is "bacterial SSU rRNA". It matches the Rfam family "Bacterial small subunit ribosomal RNA", at positions 74 to 873 of the family's 1533-position model. Lineage: Bacteria; Pseudomonadati; Pseudomonadota; Gammaproteobacteria. The record is from RNAcentral.